This 909-nucleotide ribosomal RNA is filed under the name uncultured bacterium. RNAcentral's name for it is "bacterial SSU rRNA". It matches the Rfam family "Bacterial small subunit ribosomal RNA", at positions 8 to 916 of the family's 1533-position model. The record is from RNAcentral.
AGAGUUUGAUCAUGGCUCAGGAUGAACGCUAGCGGCAGGCUUAACACAUGCAAGUCGAGGGGCAUCACGGGUAGCAAUACCUGGUGGCGACCGGCGGAAGGGUGCGUAACGCGUGAGCAACAUGCCCUAUACAGGGGGAUAAUCAGGGAAACUUGGUCUAAUACCCCAUUGGAUUUAUUGGUGGCAUCAUUGAUAAAUUAAAGCUUCGGUGGUAUAGGAUUGGCUCGCGUGACAUUAGUUUGAUGGUGAGGUAACGGCUCACCAUGGCGAUGAUGUCUAGGGGUUCUGAGAGGAAGGCCCCCCACACUGGGACUGAGACACGGCCCAGACUCCUACGGGAGGCAGCAGUGAGGGAUAUUGGACAAUGGAUGGAAAUCUGAUCCAGCCAUGCCRCGUGCAGGAAGACGGCCCUAUGGGUUGUAAACUGCUUUUAUACGGGAGCAAUAAGGUCUACGCGUAGACUGAUGAGAGUACCGUAUGAAUAAGCAUCGGCUAACUCCGUGCCAGCAGCCGCGGUAAUACGGAGGAUGCGAGCGUUAUCCGGAUUUAUUGGGUUUAAAGGGUGCGUAGGCGGCUUUGUAAGUCAGCGGUGAAAUUUUGCAGCUUAACUGUAACAGUGCCGUUGAUACUGUGAGGCUAGGAUUUGGUUGCUGUGGGUGGAAUGUGUGGUGUAGCGGUGAAAUGCUUAGAGAUCACACAGAAUAUCGAUUGCGAAGGCAGCUCACAAAGCCAAGAUUGACGCUGAGGCACGAAAGUGUGGGGAUCAAACAGGAUUAGAUACCCUGGUAGUCCACACUGUAAACGAUGAUAACUCGCUGUCGGCGAUAUACAGUCGGUGGCCAAGCGAAAGCGAUAAGUUAUCCACCUGGGGAGUACGACCGCAAGGUUGAAACUCAAAUGAAUUGACGG